RNAcentral lists this ribosomal RNA (232 nucleotides) under uncultured bacterium. RNAcentral describes it as "partial 16S ribosomal RNA". It matches the Rfam family "Bacterial small subunit ribosomal RNA", at positions 123 to 354 of the family's 1533-position model. The record is from RNAcentral.
AACCUGCCGUAUGCAGGGGGACAACAGUCAGAAAUGACUGCUAAUACCGCAUAAGCACACAAUGCUGCAUGGCAUGGUGUGAAAAGAUUUAUCGGCAUACGAUGGCCCCGCGUCUGAUUAGCCAGUUGGCAGGGGUAAUGGCCUACCAAAGCAACGAUCAGUAGCCGGCUUGAGAGAGUGACCGGCCACAUUGGGACUGAGACACGGCCCAGACUCCUACGGGAGGCAGCAG